UCAACCCAAUAUCAAGCCACAAAGUCUCAACUUUUAGAGAGAGAAACUAGAGAGAGAAAGAAAAAAAUAAAUAAAUUAGGUUUUCUAUGCAUACGCCGAAGAAGAUACCGGAAAAACUUUGAAGGCUGUUAACUUCUAGUCCUGAAUAUUAACUUAUAUUCCAUUUUAGUCCUACACUUUUUCUGAAACUUCGUUUUACGUCGGGCUUAUGUUUUGAUUGAUCGUUUUACGUCCAAAUUAAUGGAUGAAAUUUGGGAAAGAGCGGUGGAAACUGCUUUAGACGGCGAAACAAGCUUCAGUUCAGUGAAAAACCUAACAUUAGACGGAGCCGUUAAGUGUGUUCAUGGAAAAUUACCUCAACCGUCAAUUUUCGAACGAUUUACGAAUCUCGAACACUUAUCUAUAGCGAAUAUCGGUGUUUCAUCGUUAGAACAGUUUCCAAUGCUUCGUAAUCUUCAAAAAUUGAUUUUAUCUGAUAAUAGAAUUGCUGGAGGUGUUGAAUUUCUCGUAGAUGCUGGCUUAAAUUCACUGAGGGAUUUAGAUUUAUCGAAUAAUCGGAUUAAUGAUAUUGAUGAUUUGAGACCUUUGGCUGAAUUGAGACUUGUUUCGCUUGAUCUGUAUGAAUGUCCGGUAACGAGAGUUAAGGAUUAUCGAUCUAGGGUUUUUGGAUUGAUUAAGUCGUUGAAGUAUUUGGAUAAGAUGGAUUUGGAAGGGAAUGAGAGACCGGAAUCGGAUGAUGAAGAGGAUGAGGAUGAAGAUGAGGAUGAUAAUGAGGAUGAUGUGGAUGAUCCGGGUAGUGGUGAGGUGGACGGUGAGGAUCGACCGAGUAAUGGACAUAGUAGGGUUAGGGUUGGGAGUGAAGGUGUUGUUGAUGUUGAUGAGGAUGAAAGUGAUGCUGAUGAGGAGGAGAUGGAGAUAACGAGAGCGAUUAACGGGUCGAAAAGCCAAGAAAAUGGUGUUCUAGAUGAGGAGGGAGAUGAUGAUGAGGACGAGGAUGAUGAGGACGAGGAUUUUGUGGAGGAGAUAGAUGAGGACGGAGAUGACGAGGAUGAUGUUGUGGAGGUACACGAGAUAGAGGAUAGUGACGACGAGGAGGACGGUGUGGAGGAUGAUGAGGAUGAUGAUGAUGAUGACGACGAGGAUGAGGAUGAGGAGGAGGUUGAUAAUGAUGAGGGGGAUGGAGAGGAGCCGGAGAGUACUACGGGGAGGUUGAAUAGUACGGAAGGGGAGAUUGAUGGACAUGAGCACGGGGAAGAUGAAGCGGACGAGGACGAUGAUGGGGAGACGGGAGAGGAGGUGCAUGGUGUUGAGGAGGAGGAUGGGGAUUUCGAUGAUAAUGAUGAUGAGGAUGCUGAAGAUGAGGAAGAAGAUAAUGGCAAUGGCUACCUUGUUCAACCAGUUGGUCCUGUUGAAGUAGAAGAUGAUGCUGAAGGCAGUGAUAUGGAGCCAGUUAAUGGUGAUGAAGAUCCUGAUUUGGAGGAAGACAUUGAAGAUGAGGAGGAUGAUUAUGGUGAAGUUCAAGAGCUGCCACCCUCCUCCUCCUCGAAGAGGAAGAGAGAUGAUGAGGAGGAUGAUGGUGAGGAAGAUGACGAGGAGUUUGCAAAGUCAUCCAAGCACCGUUAGCAAAUGUAUCUUUGAUGAAGGAGAUGAUGAACUUGAGAAUGGAUUUAUUUUCAGACUGGUGGUAGUUAUAACUGUUGAGCAUCUUUUCUUGGUGGGAAAUUCAGGUCUAUGAUGAUGGUAUACAAAUGUUCAAAAGUUGGUUAGUAAAUAUUGGCGCUCUUGCUUUGUUUGCAGUAGCCGUUGCCUAGUGAUUCAAAUGACAGUUGAUCCAACUACUCUUCAUGAGUAGGUUUUUGGAGGGGAAUUUGAAUUGAUUUGGGGGAAAAAAGCGAAAGGAAAAUCUCUGCGGGUUCUUCUACCAUAGUUAGUAGGUGGUGCCAGAUGUCAGCUGUCUGUUGUCUCAAUUGAUUGCUCUCAUUUCCUGGUCUCCCAAUCAUGUGACCGAUGAUAUAUUAUACCCACCGGCCCCGAAUAUUAUUUAGUUAAAAAAACAUAGAGAAAAAGCAAUGGUCCCAAUCCAAAAAAGGAAAAAAAAUUCCCCGCUUAUAUUGUGCUAAACGAACUUAUACCUCUUGCAUAGAGAUCGGAUUGGCGUUGGUGUCCUUGGGUAUUAGGCCGUGGUAAAAGUAUUGUUGGGCUUGGAAGCCCAGAAGUCUCGGUUGGCAAAUGAUCCAAGAGAGCAUGUUUGGGCUACAACAGAGCAGGCCAGUGAAGAAGUGUACUAACUUUGGGCCGCCAGCUUAAACAGAAGGCUUCGUGCUUUUGUCCAACUAGUCAAUGCUUAUGUGACAAAAUGGGACAUAGUCUCUUUGUUUAUGUGGUGUACUUGUGCUACUUUUUAACGCAUUUUACAAAGAGAUGUAGCGCGUGUUGCGCUUGGUAUAUGUAUUUAAAUUUCUUAAACUUUCAAUUAUUGAAUUCAAUUGAAUGGUAUACAACCUUUUUCUUUC
Molecule: RNA transcript, 2513 nt
Organism: Lycium barbarum (goji berry)
Lineage: Eukaryota; Viridiplantae; Streptophyta; Magnoliopsida; Solanales; Solanaceae
Gene name: acidic leucine-rich nuclear phosphoprotein 32-related protein
Exons: 3
Source: RefSeq, a predicted model, not a curated record